Molecule: unclassified non-coding RNA, 329 nt
Filed under: soil metagenome
Description: partial contains 5.8S ribosomal RNA, internal transcribed spacer 2, and large subunit ribosomal RNA
Rfam family: 5.8S ribosomal RNA (bases 1-120)
Source: RNAcentral
GAUGAAGAACGUAACGAAAUGCGAUAAGUAAUGUGAAUUGCAGAAUUCAGUGAAUCAUCGAAUCUUUGAACGCACAUUGCGCCCCUUGGUAUUCCGAGGGGCAUGCCUGUUCGAGCGUCAUUAUAACCCCUCAAGCUCAGCUUGGUGUUGGGGCCUGCUGCACUGGCAGCCCUUAAAAUCAGUGGCGGCGCCAUCUGGCUCUAAGCGUAGUAAUUCUUCUCGCUAUGGAGUCCUGGUGGAUGCUUGCCAUCAACCCCCAAUUUUUCUAUGGUUGACCUCGGAUCAGGUAGGGAUACCCGCUGAACUUAAGCAUAUCAAUAAGCGGAGGA